RNAcentral lists this ribosomal RNA (497 nucleotides) under uncultured bacterium. RNAcentral's name for it is "partial 16S ribosomal RNA". It matches the Rfam family "Bacterial small subunit ribosomal RNA", at positions 28 to 507 of the family's 1533-position model. The record is from RNAcentral.
GAUGAACGCUGGCGGCGUGCCUAAUACAUGCAAGUCGAGCGAACGGACGAGAAGCUUGCUUCUCUGAUGUUAGCGGCGGACGGGUGAGUAACACGUGGAUAACCUACCUAUAAGACUGGGAUAACUUCGGGAAACCGGAGCUAAUACCGGAUAAUAUUUUGAACCGCAUGGUUCAAAAGUGAAAGACGGUCUUGCUGUCACUUAUAGAUGGAUCCGCGCUGCAUUAGCUAGUUGGUAAGGUAACGGCUUACCAAGGCAACGAUGCAUAGCCGACCUGAGAGGGUGAUCCGCCACACUGGAACUGAGGCGCGGUCCAGACUCCUACGGGAGGCAGCAGUAAGGAAUCUUCCGCAAUGGGCGAAAGCCUGACGGAGCAACGCCGCGUGAGUGAUGAAGGUCUUCGGAUCGUAAAACUCUGUUAUUAGGGAAGAACAUAUGUGUAAGUAACUGUGCACAUCUUGACGGUACCUAAUCAGAAAGCCACGGCUAACUACGUG